GAUGAACGCUGGCGGCGUGCCUAAUACAUGCCAGUCGAGCGAACAGACGAGGAGCUUGCUCCUCUGACGUUAGCGGCGGAAGGGUGAGUAACACGUGGAUAACCUACCUAUAAGACUGGGAUAACUUCGGGAAACCGGAGCUAAUACCGGAUAAUAUAUUUAACCGCAUGGUUCAAUAUGGAAAGACGGUUUUGCUGUCACUUAUAGAUGGAUUCGGGCCGCAUUAGCUAGUUGGUAAGGUAACGGCUUACCAAGGCAACGAUGCGUAGCCGACCUGGAAGGGUGAUCGGCCAAACUGGAACUGAGACACGGUCCAGACUCCUACGGGAGGCAGAAGUAGGGAAUCUUCCGCAAUGGGCGAAAGCUUGACGGAGCAACGCCGCGUGAGUGAUGAAGGUCUUCGGAUCGUAAACCUCUGUUAUUAGGGAAGAACAAAUGUGUAAGUAACUAUGCACGUCUUGACGGUACCUAAUCAGAAAGCCACGGCUAACUACGUG
Molecule: ribosomal RNA, 497 nt
Filed under: uncultured bacterium
Lineage: Bacteria
Description: partial 16S ribosomal RNA
Rfam family: Bacterial small subunit ribosomal RNA
Source: RNAcentral